UGUAAUCGAUUACACAGACUGGUAAUCGAUUACCAGAGGCCUCCAUAGUCUUCCAGUUCCCUUUUUGAAGCCUGGUAAUCGAUUACACCCCUUGGUAAUCGAUUACUAGAAGCUCUCCUAGCUUCCUGACCUCGUUUUCAAGCCUGGUAAUCGAUUACACCCCUUGGUAAUCGAUUACCAGAGACCAUCUUAGCCUUCUGUCUUCAUUUUUAAGCCUUGUAAUAGAUUACCCACCCUUGGUAAUCGAUUACCAGAGGCCAUAUCUCACAUAUCAAUCAAAGUUCGCAGCUGGCCAGCCACCACACAAGCCUCCUUGCUUUGUGGUCUUUGUUCCUUUUAUCUGUUGACUGUCAGGAGCUCGCCUGUUUAGGUACAUCACAGGUUCUCACUGAAUGACUAUGCCCGGGUUGGGUCGGGAUUGGUCAAGCUUGGUUUUGGGCAAUAGCACCCCACCUGACGUCCCCAAGGUCUCCCGACCCCCGCGACAUAUCUCCAGGUACCACUCUGUGGUCAACGAAUAAAAGCAGGAAGUUUCACCCUUUUACACUUCCUCAUCUCAAGCUUGUAGGAUUAUGGGGUACCCAUCACAUGUGGUACUAGGUGGCGGUCGGGCGAUGGUGCACAACAAGUUUUCCACAUCCACAAAUCGCGCAUAAACCCACCAUCCCCUGUUGCCCACCUCCAACUGAGCUCACGUACUCCCACGUAGCCCAUAUCUUCAUUUCUCUCAACACCGGGUCCCCAUCAAUCCUCCCAAGCUUCCCCAACAUCCAGGUAAUUUAACAUCCAAAUCAUCACAAACUAACAAACCAAGCAAAACAGGGCAAAGGCAGAAAACUCUGCCCAAAACUCAAACCAAAAUCACAGCUUUUUCUCACUUAAAGACCCCAGUGACAUUUCCUUCGUUCCAAUUCGUUAACCGUUGGAUCGACUCGAAAAUCUUACUGGAAGUCUCUCGUACAUAAGCCUACAUUUCAACCGUUGGGAUCUGCUAGCAAACCUCUAGAACUCAUUCUGCACUACUCUUUCCACAACCAGCAAAACAUAGCAUUUUUCUGCACUUAUGCAAAAUUCUGCUGCACAAUUUCACAGCAAAAUUCUGCAUAAAGUGCAGAUUUCGAAAACCACACUUCCCCUCAUCCAAUCUUGCCCAAAUCAAAUCCUACAAGUCCCAAUUCAUGUAUCAAUCAUGUCUAAACCAAAGUCAAGCUUCAAAACACAGCAACACAAAAUCUAGGUGUCCAAAACCCCUCAAUUUAAUGGAUUUUCUAGGUUUGAGAAGUGAAAUUGAGAAUGGGACAAAUUUGAAGCAAACUCUCACCUCACACAAGUCUAUAACAUCAAUUUAAACUUGUUCAAACUGGAUUUAUGCCUAAAGUUUCACCGAAUCAAAAUUUGACUCUUCAACACCCAAUUUCACCCUAGAAAUGGCUCUUUGUUCACUUUGGUCAUUUGUUUUUCUCUCUAGCACAGCCCAAACUCUCUCAUAAGUCCUAAAUGACAUUUCAAGCUAGGAUUAACUCACUUUAACCUCCAAAUACCACUAAAUCCAGAUUUGGCCUUCCAACUCUCAAAACCUCACUCUUUUUCCACUCAUAACACCAUAUUCUCACUUCCUAACCCUAGGUUAACUCUACCCUUCAUCUCUAAUAGUUUUCCAUAAGCGGUUUCAGCACAUAAACAUCACAAGCAUCAUCAUAAAAACCCUAAAACUGAAUGGGUAAGCUUAACUCAUCCAAACAUGGCAAGUUCAACAUGCUUUCAACAAAUUUCUUCACAAAUAACUAUCAUGAAGCAGAAACCUAGCAAAACUACCCAUCAUAUCUCCCAAAACCCAAUACCCACGAAAAUCAAGUGAGAAAGAAGUCUACCCAAACCUGAAAUUUCGAAGUCCCACACGUAGAGAUGCGCUUCACGACUCCGAAAAUGCCCUCCUUUCGUGAUUUGGAGCAGAA
This 1955-nucleotide long non-coding RNA is filed under the name Glycine max (soybean). Its description in RNAcentral is "long non-coding RNA (GMAX_LNC004145)". Lineage: Eukaryota; Viridiplantae; Streptophyta; Magnoliopsida; Fabales; Fabaceae. The record is from RNAcentral.